UGUGCUGCUGGGCUAGCGGCGGCGGCUGCCCAGUCGGUGUAAGCCUUUUCCGCGCGCGCCCGCUGGCCGGCGGGGAGCCUGUGAGCCUGGGCUCCCUGCGGGGCAAGGGACUACUUAUCGAGAAUGUGGCGUCCCUCGGAGGCACCACGGUCCGGGACUACACCCAGAUGAACGAGCCGCAGCGGCGCCUCGGCCCCGGGGCCUGGUGGUGCUUGGCUUCCCGUGCAACCAGUCUGGGCAUCAGGAGAACGCCAAGAACGAAGAGAUUCUGAAUUCCCUCAAGUACGUCCAACCUGGUGGUGGGUUCGAGCCCAGCUUCAUGCUCUUGGAGAAGUGCGAGGUGAACGGUGCGGGGGCGCACCCUCUCUCCGCCUUUCUGCGGGACGCCGGCCAGCCCCCAGGGACGACGCCACUGAGCUCAUGACCGACCCCAAGCUCAUCACCUGGUCUCCGGUGUGUCGCAACGAUGUUGCCUGGAACUUCUUUGAGAAGUUCCUGGUGGGCCCUGACGGUGUGCCUGUAUGCAGGUAUAGCUGCCGCUUCCAGACCAUUGACAUCGAGCCUGACAUCGAAGCCCUGCUGUCUCAAGGGCCCAGAUGUGCCUAG
Molecule: long non-coding RNA, 606 nt
Filed under: Homo sapiens (human)
Lineage: Eukaryota; Metazoa; Chordata; Mammalia; Primates; Hominidae
Description: non-protein coding lnc-ADAMTS5-2:1
Source: RNAcentral